This 555-nucleotide long non-coding RNA is filed under the name Olea europaea (common olive). RNAcentral describes it as "long non-coding RNA (OEUR_LNC000556)". Lineage: Eukaryota; Viridiplantae; Streptophyta; Magnoliopsida; Lamiales; Oleaceae. The record is from RNAcentral.
UACAAGUCGGUCACUAUUAAGGGGCGGAGCCACACGGAGGCGAGUGCAGGCAUCCGCCUCACCUCAUCUGUGAUUUCUUGCAGCAAUUGAAGGCAGUGCCCGCAUUGAAAUUUCUGGAGGAUUGGAUCUGCUGAAAACACUUUUCUCUCCACUCGUCUCCGGCUACACACUUUUCUCUCCACUCUGUUUCAAGGUUGCUUCUAUUGAUUCGGUCCUCUAGCUUGAAUUUGCUUCUUCUUUUCGUCAAUCAACUUUUCAUCUGGGAAUUGCAGUUUUUCAGUUGGGACAUCUUCUUGGUUUCUUCAUAGCUUGAAGAUUGUGUAUAUUGUGUAUGUAUAUUUCAUAUAAAAUUUGAUUUUACUCAAAGACAGUAGUGGAAUUACAGACUUGCAAGGUGUCAGGGCACUUUGGUCGGAUGGAUUGGGUUUGAAUUUUAACUUGCAGGGUGUCAGGGCACUUUGGUCGAAUGGAUUGGGUUUGAAUUUUAAAUUGGUCAUUGCCAUGGUCUUUGCAUUUGUGUGCUGGAUUAGAUUUGAAUUUUAAAUUGGUCCACUU